AUUGAACGCUGGCGGAAUGCUUUACACAUGCAAGUCGAACGGUAGAGGGGGCAACCCCUUGAGAGUGGCGAACGGGUGAGUAAUAUAUCGGAACGUGCCCAGUCGUGGGGAUAACGUAGCGAAAGCUACGCUAAUACCGCAUACGAUCUACGGAUGAAAGCGGGGGAUCGCAAGACCUCGCGCGAUUGGAGCGGCCGAUAUCAGAUUAGGUAGUUGGUGAGGUAAAGGCUCACCAAGCCGACGAUCUGUAGCUGGUCUGAGAGGACGACCAGCCACACUGGGACUGAGACACGGCCCAGACUCCUACGGGAGGCAGCAGUGGGGAAUUUUGGACAAUGGGCGCAAGCCUGAUCCAGCAAUGCCGCGUGCAGGAUGAAGGCCUUCGGUU
Molecule: ribosomal RNA, 388 nt
Filed under: uncultured bacterium
Lineage: Bacteria
Description: bacterial SSU rRNA
Rfam family: Bacterial small subunit ribosomal RNA
Source: RNAcentral